ACUCCGUGAUGAGAAAUAGCCAAAUCUGAGCACCUAUAAGAUCGGCUGGUCUAUAUGGUGCAUGAUUUAUACCCUGUUCUGGGA
Molecule: small nucleolar RNA, 84 nt
Organism: Elgaria multicarinata webbii
Lineage: Eukaryota; Metazoa; Chordata; Lepidosauria; Squamata; Anguidae
Product: small nucleolar RNA U2-19
Exons: 1
Source: RefSeq, a predicted model, not a curated record